Molecule: ribosomal RNA, 210 nt
Filed under: uncultured bacterium
Lineage: Bacteria
Description: partial 16S ribosomal RNA
Rfam family: Bacterial small subunit ribosomal RNA
Source: RNAcentral
UACGUAGGGUGCAAGCGUUAAUCGGAAUUACUGGGCGUAAAGGCGUGCGCAGGCGGUUUGUAAGUCAGAUGUGAAAUCCCCGGGCUUAACCUGGGAACUGCGUUUGAAACUACAAGGCUAGAGUGUGGCAGAGGGGGUGGAAUUCCGACGUGAGCAGGUGGAAAUGCGGUAGAGAUGAUGGAGGAACACCAGUGGCGAAGGCGGCUGCUC